Molecule: microRNA precursor, 100 nt
Filed under: Marmota monax (woodchuck)
Lineage: Eukaryota; Metazoa; Chordata; Mammalia; Rodentia; Sciuridae
Source: RNAcentral
AAUGGGAUAGCUGAGUCAAAUGGUUCUAUUCCAAGUUUUCUAAGGAAUUUCCAUACUGUUUUCCAUAUUGGCUGCACCAAUUUGCAGUCCCACCAGCAAU